GACGAACGCUGGCGGCGUGCUUAACACAUGCAAGUCGAACGGAAAGGCCCUGCUUUUGUGGGGUGCUCGAGUGGCGAACGGGUGAGUAACACGUGAGUAACCUGCCCUUGACUUUGGGAUAACUUCAGGAAACUGGGGCUAAUACCGGAUAGGAGCUCCUGCUGCAUGGUGGGGGUUGGAAAGUUUCGGCGGUUGGGGAUGGACUCGCGGCUUAUCAGCUUGUUGGUGGGGUAGUGGCUUACCAAGGCUUUGACGGGUAGCCGGCCUGAGAGGGUGACCGGCCACAUUGGGACUGAGAUACGGCCCAGACUCCUACGGGAGGCAGCAGUGGGGAAUAUUGCACAAUGGGCGGAAGCCUGAUGCAGCAACGCCGCGUGCGGGAUGACGGCCUUCGGGUUGUAAACCGCUUCCGCCUGUGACGAAGCGUGAGUGACGGUAAUGGGUAAAGAAGCACCGGCUAACUACGUGCCAGCAGCCGCGGUGAUACGUAGGGUGCGAGCGUUGUCCGGAUUUAUUGGGCGUAAAGGGCUCGUAGGUGGUUGAUCGCGUCGGAAGUGUAAUCUUGGGGCUUAACCCUGAGCGUGCUUUCGAUACGGGUUGACUUGAGGAAGGUAGGGGAGAAUGGAAUUCCUGGUGGAGCGGUGGAAUGCGCAGAUAUCAGGAGGAACACCAGUGGCGAAGGCGGUUCUCUGGGCCUUUCCUGACGCUGAGGAGCGAAAGCGUGGGGAGCGAACAGGCUUAGAUACCCUGGUAGUCCACGCUGUAAACGGUGGGUACUAGGUGUGGGGUCCAUUCCACGGGUUCCGUGCCGUAGCUAACGCUUUAAGUACCCCGCCUGGGGAGUACGGCCGCAAGGCUAAAACUCAAAGGAAUUGACGGGGCCCCGCACAAGCGGCGGAGCAUGCGGAUUAAUUCGAUGCAACGCGUAGAACCUUACCUGGGUUUGACAUGGAUCGGGAGUGCUCAGAGAUGGGUGUGCCUCUUUUGGGGUCGGUUCACAGGUGGUGCAUGCCUGUCGUCAGCUCGUGUCGUGAGAUGUUGGGUUAAGUCCCGCAACGAGCGCAACCCUUGUUCACUGUUGCCAGCACGUUAUGGUGGGGACUCAGUGGAGACCGCCGGGGUCAACUCGGAGGAAGGUGGGGAUGACGUCAAGUCAUCAUGCCCCUUAUGUCCAGGGCUUCACGCAUGCUACAAUGGCUGGUACAGAGAGUGGCGAGCCUGUGAGGGUGAGCGAAUCUCGGAAAGCCGGUCUCAGUUCGGAUUGGGGUCUGCAACUCGACCUCAUGAAGUCGGAGUCGCUAGUAAUCGCAGAUCAGCAACGCUGCGGUGAAUACGUUCCCGGGGCU
Molecule: ribosomal RNA, 1346 nt
Filed under: uncultured bacterium
Lineage: Bacteria
Description: partial 16S ribosomal RNA
Rfam family: Bacterial small subunit ribosomal RNA
Source: RNAcentral